Molecule: ribosomal RNA, 1323 nt
Filed under: Triticum aestivum (bread wheat)
Lineage: Eukaryota; Viridiplantae; Streptophyta; Magnoliopsida; Poales; Poaceae
Description: partial small subunit ribosomal RNA
Source: RNAcentral
AUGGACAUAUGUGUUGCUCAAUACGUAGCUCUAUGUGCGGUUACACUUGUAAUUGGAUGGCUAGUACACUGGGUAUACAGGUGGAUCAACCCGGUUUGCAACGGGGUUCUUCCUCCUGGCUCCAUGGGGCUCCCUGUUAUUGGUGAGACCUUGGAAUUCCUCAAGGCAAGCACUUCCUUGGACGUCCCAGACUACUUCAAACGAAGGAUGAAGAGGUACGGCCCGGUUUUCAAGACAAGCUUGCUGGGGCAGGCUGCGGUUGUUUCCACCGACGCCGAGGUCAACCGGUUUAUCCUUCAGCAGGAGGGCACCUUGUUCCGUGUUGGGUACCCUCGGGCACUGACCAAAAUAUUCGGCGAGGAGAGCAUCGAAGCUUUCCAUGGCACAAUCCACAAGUUCAUCCGUAGGUGCGCCUUCAUGCUGUUCGGUCUCCAGAGCCUCAAAGAGGUGCUCCUCCCCGAGAUGGAGUCCGCCGUGAGGGAGCGCCUUGCUGCGUGGGCCACCAUGCCGAGCGUCGACGUGCGGGGCGAUGCGCCCGACAUUCUUUUUGAGUUGGUGACGAGGAAGUGCCUUGGUUUCGAUUCCACCAGGUCGAGGGAACUGAGGAACAAGUUUGAAGUGCUUUUCUCAGGGUUGUGCUCCUUCCCAAUAUAUUUCCCUGGGACACCAUUUUACCGAUGCAUGCAGGCAAGGAAAAACGUGCAGAAGACAGUGCGGGAUACGUUGGCAGAGAGGUUAGCUACACCAGGGAAGAAACAUGGCGACCUCCUUGACAUAAUUGUCGAAGAACUGCAGGGUGAAGAGCCAUUAAUAAGUGAGAAUUUCGCUACUGAUAUGGUCUCCACGCUGUUGUUCGCCAGUGUCUUCACGCUAUCAGGGACCAUCGCUGUAGCCUUCAAGUCACUCCAUGACAAUCCGGACGUUGUCCACGCCCUCGAGGUUGGUUUUAUGUUGGUUUUUUUACAGUACAUUAUACUACUUCUGGGACCAAGUAGCUAUACAAUUCCAGCCGGAUGGUUGGUCAUAGUUAACCCUAUGGCAGUUCAUCUGAACGGAGAACUGUUUGAAGAUCCACUCAAGUUUAACCCAUGGAGGUGGAUGGAUGAGUCAAAGCGCAGCACAAUGCUGAAGAAUUUCAUGCCAUUCGGAGCAGGUAUGAGGGUUUGUCCUGGCGCAGAGUUUGUCAAGUUGUUCAUAACACUUACCCUCCACAUUUUGGUGACCGAGUAUAGGUGUAUGGGAAGAAAUGAAAGUGUAUUCCGAAGCGGUGAGGUCAUGUUCCCGCAGGGCUACCCCAUUCGACUUCGACCCCAGGAUGACUAA